GACGAAGGUGGCGAGCGUUACUCGGAAUUACUAGGCGUAAAGCGUGGGUAGGCUGUUCGGUAAGUCUGUUGUGGAAGCUCCCGGCUCAACCGGGAGAGGUCAAUGGAUACUGCCGAGCUUGAAUGUGGGAGAGGUCACUGGAAUUCCUGGUGUAGCGGUGAAAUGCGUAGAGAUCAGGAGGAACACCAAUGGCGAAAGCAGGUGACUGGACCACUAUUGACGCUGAGCCACGAAAGCUAGGGGAG
This 245-nucleotide ribosomal RNA is filed under the name uncultured bacterium. RNAcentral's name for it is "partial 16S ribosomal RNA". It matches the Rfam family "Bacterial small subunit ribosomal RNA", at positions 524 to 768 of the family's 1533-position model. The record is from RNAcentral.